RNAcentral lists this ribosomal RNA (452 nucleotides) under uncultured Streptococcus sp. RNAcentral's name for it is "bacterial SSU rRNA". It matches the Rfam family "Bacterial small subunit ribosomal RNA", at positions 926 to 1382 of the family's 1533-position model. Lineage: Bacteria; Bacillati; Bacillota; Bacilli; Lactobacillales; Streptococcaceae. The record is from RNAcentral.
CAAGCGUGGAGCAUGUGGUUAAUUCGAAGCAACGCGAAGAACCUUACCAGGUCUCGACAUCCCGAUGCUAUUCUAGAGAUAGAAAGUUACUUCGGUACAUCGGUGACAGGUGGUGCAUGGUUGUCGUCAGCUCGUGUCGUGAGAUGUUGGGUUAAGUCCCGCAACGAGCGCAACCCCUAUUGUUAGUUGCCAUCAUUCAGUUGGGCACUCUAGCGAGACUGCCGGUAAUAAACCGGAGGAAGGUGGGGAUGACGUCAAAUCAUCAUGCCCCUUAUGACCUGGGCUACACACGUGCUACAAUGGUUGGUACAACGAGUUGCGAGUCGGUGACGGCGAGCUAAUCUCUUAAAGCCAAUCUCAGUUCGGAUUGUAGGCUGCAACUCGCCUACAUGAAGUCGGAAUCGCUAGUAAUCGCGGAUCAGCACGCCGCGGUGAAUACGUUCCCGGGUCUU